AACCUAAAACUAAAACUAAAAAAACAGAAAAAGAAAAAAACUAAAUCUAAACCUAAAACUAAACUAAAACUAAACCUAUAAACAUAAAACUAAUCCUAAAACUAAAACUAAAUCUAAACUAAACAUAAACCUAAAACUAAAAAAACAGAAAAAAGGAAAAAAAAGGAAGAAGAUCACCUGCAGGGUGGAGGAGGGGGGCGGUGCGGCCUGGGGCGNNNNNNNNNNUUCCUUUUUCCUCUUCUUCUUCUCCUCCUCUCCUCUUUUUUCUUCUUCUUCUUCUUCCUCUUCUUCUUUUUUCUUCUCCUCCUCCUCUUCUUCUUCUUCUCCUGAUCUCCUCUUUUUCUCUUUUUCUUCUUUCCUAAAACUAAACUAAACCUAAAACUAAAACUAAAAAAACAGAAAAAGAAAAAAACUAACUCUAAACCUAAAACUAAACUAAAACUAAACCUAUAAACCUAAAACUAAUCCUAAAACUAAAACUAAAUCUAAACUAAACAUAAACCUAAAACUAAAAAAACAGAAAAAAGGAAAAAAAGGAAGAAGAUCACCUGCAGGGUGGAGGAGGGGGGCGGUGCGGCCUGGGG
This 584-nucleotide long non-coding RNA is filed under the name Triticum aestivum (bread wheat). RNAcentral's name for it is "long non-coding RNA (TAES_LNC025360)". Lineage: Eukaryota; Viridiplantae; Streptophyta; Magnoliopsida; Poales; Poaceae. The record is from RNAcentral.